RNAcentral lists this ribosomal RNA (305 nucleotides) under uncultured bacterium. Its description in RNAcentral is "bacterial SSU rRNA". It matches the Rfam family "Bacterial small subunit ribosomal RNA", at positions 335 to 655 of the family's 1533-position model. The record is from RNAcentral.
UCCCUACGGGGGGCAGCAGUGGGGAAUAUUGGGCAAUGGGCGCAAGCCUGACCCAGCAACGCCGCGUGAAGGAAGAAGGCUUUCGGGUUGUAAACUUCUUUUAUUCGGGACGAAGAAAGUGACGGUACCGAAUGAAUAAGCCACGGCUAACUACGUGCCAGCAGCCGCGGUAAUACGUAGGUGGCAAGCGUUAUCCGGAUUUAUUGGGUGUAAAGGGCGUGUAGGCGGGAAUGCAAGUCAGAUGCGAAAACUCAGGGCUCAACCCUGGGACUGCUCUUGGAACUGCGGUGCUAGAAUGCAGGAGG